Molecule: ribosomal RNA, 253 nt
Filed under: uncultured bacterium
Lineage: Bacteria
Description: partial 16S ribosomal RNA
Rfam family: Bacterial small subunit ribosomal RNA
Source: RNAcentral
UACGGAGGGUGCAAGCGUUAAUCGGAAUUACUGGGCGUAAAGCGUGCGCAGGCGGUUUCUUAAGUCUGCUGUGAAAGCCCCGGGCUCAACCUGGGAAUUGCAGUGGAUACUGGGGAGCUAGAGUGCGGUAGAGGGUAGUGGAAUUCCCGGUGUAGCGGUGAAAUGCGUAGAGAUCGGGAGGAACACCAGUGGCGAAGGCGGCUACCUGGACCAGCACUGACACUGAGGCACGAAAGCGUGGGGAGCAAACAGG